GUGAGGAAUAUUGGUCAAUGGACGAGAGUCUGAACCAGCCAAGUAGCGUGAAGGAUGACUGCCCUAUGGGUUGUAAACUUCUUUUAUAAGGGAAUAAAGUGAGGGACGUGUCCCUUUUUGUAUGUACCUUAUGAAUAAGGAUCGGCUAACUCCGUGCCAGCAGCCGCGGUAAUACGGAGGAUCCAAGCGUUAUCCGGAUUUAUUGGGUUUAAAGGGAGCGUAGGUUGACAUAUAAGUCAGCUGUGAAAGUUUACGGCUCAACCGUGAAAUUGCAGUUGAUACUGUAUGUCUUGAGUGUACAAGAGGUGGGCGGAAUUCGUGGUGUAGCGGUGAAAUGCUUAGAUAUCACGAAGAACUCCAAUUGCGAAGGCAGCUCACUGGGGUACAACUGACACUGAGGCUCGAAAGUGUGGGUAUCAAACAGGAUUAGAUACCCUUGUAGUCC
This 445-nucleotide ribosomal RNA is filed under the name uncultured bacterium. RNAcentral's name for it is "partial 16S ribosomal RNA". It matches the Rfam family "Bacterial small subunit ribosomal RNA", at positions 354 to 796 of the family's 1533-position model. The record is from RNAcentral.